RNAcentral lists this small nuclear RNA (87 nucleotides) under Manihot esculenta (cassava). Lineage: Eukaryota; Viridiplantae; Streptophyta; Magnoliopsida; Malpighiales; Euphorbiaceae. The record is from RNAcentral.
CCGCCAACAAUGAAACAAUAUAAAUAAAAUUAGCAUGGUCCAUGUGCAAGAAUGACAUGCAUAAAUUGAGAAAUAGUUUAAAUUUUU